RNAcentral lists this ribosomal RNA (2758 nucleotides) under Staphylococcus aureus H91384. RNAcentral describes it as "bacterial LSU rRNA". It matches the Rfam family "Bacterial large subunit ribosomal RNA". The record is from RNAcentral. Lineage: Bacteria; Bacillati; Bacillota; Bacilli; Caryophanales; Staphylococcaceae.
AUAGCAUAUCAGAAGGCACACCCGGAGAACUGAAACAUCUUAGUACCCGGAGGAAGAGAAAGAAAAUUCGAUUCCCUUAGUAGCGGCGAGCGAAACGGGAAGAGCCCAAACCAACAAGCUUGCUUGUUGGGGUUGUAGGACACUCUAUACGGAGUUACAAAGGACGACAUUAGACGAAUCAUCUGGAAAGAUGAAUCAAAGAAGGUAAUAAUCCUGUAGUCGAAAAUGUUGUCUCUCUUGAGUGGAUCCUGAGUACGACGGAGCACGUGAAAUUCCGUCGGAAUCUGGGAGGACCAUCUCCUAAGGCUAAAUACUCUCUAGUGACCGAUAGUGAACCAGUACCGUGAGGGAAAGGUGAAAAGCACCCCGGAAGGGGAGUGAAAUAGAACCUGAAACCGUGUGCUUACAAGUAGUCAGAGCCCGUUAAUGGGUGAUGGCGUGCCUUUUGUAGAAUGAACCGGCGAGUUACGAUUUGAUGCAAGGUUAAGCAGUAAAUGUGGAGCCGUAGCGAAAGCGAGUCUGAAUAGGGCGUUUAGUAUUUGGUCGUAGACCCGAAACCAGGUGAUCUACCCUUGGUCAGGUUGAAGUUCAGGUAACACUGAAUGGAGGACCGAACCGACUUACGUUGAAAAGUGAGCGGAUGAACUGAGGGUAGCGGAGAAAUUCCAAUCGAACCUGGAGAUAGCUGGUUCUCUCCGAAAUAGCUUUAGGGCUAGCCUCAAGUGAUGAUUAUUGGAGGUAGAGCACUGUUUGGACGAGGGGCCCCUCUCGGGUUACCGAAUUCAGACAAACUCCGAAUGCCAAUUAAUUUAACUUGGGAGUCAGAACAUGGGUGAUAAGGUCCGUGUUCGAAAGGGAAACAGCCCAGACCACCAGCUAAGGUCCCAAAAUAUAUGUUAAGUGGAAAAGGAUGUGGCGUUGCCCAGACAACUAGGAUGUUGGCUUAGAAGCAGCCAUCAUUUAAAGAGUGCGUAAUAGCUCACUAGUCGAGUGACACUGCGCCGAAAAUGUACCGGGGCUAAACAUAUUACCGAAGCUGUGGAUUGUCCUUUGGACAAUGGUAGGAGAGCGUUCUAAGGGCGUUGAAGCAUGAUCGUAAGGACAUGUGGAGCGCUUAGAAGUGAGAAUGCCGGUGUGAGUAGCGAAAGACGGGUGAGAAUCCCGUCCACCGAUUGACUAAGGUUUCCAGAGGAAGGCUCGUCCGCUCUGGGUUAGUCGGGUCCUAAGCUGAGGCCGACAGGCGUAGGCGAUGGAUAACAGGUUGAUAUUCCUGUACCACCUAUAAUCGUUUUAAUCGAUGGGGGGACGCAGUAGGAUAGGCGAAGCGUGCGAUUGGAUUGCACGUCUAAGCAGUAAGGCUGAGUAUUAGGCAAAUCCGGUACUCGUUAAGGCUGAGCUGUGAUGGGGAGAAGACAUUGUGUCUUCGAGUCGUUGAUUUCACACUGCCGAGAAAAGCCUCUAGAUAGAAAAUAGGUGCCCGUACCGCAAACCAACACAGGUAGUCAAGAUGAGAAUUCUAAGGUGAGCGAGCGAACUCUCGUUAAGGAACUCGGCAAAAUGACCCCGUAACUUCGGGAGAAGGGGUGCUCUUUAGGGUUAACGCCCAGAAGAGCCGCAGUGAAUAGGCCCAAGCGACUGUUUAUCAAAAACACAGGUCUCUGCUAAACCGUAAGGUGAUGUAUAGGGGCUGACGCCUGCCCGGUGCUGGAAGGUUAAGAGGAGUGGUUAGCUUCUGCGAAGCUACGAAUCGAAGCCCCAGUAAACGGCGGCCGUAACUAUAACGGUCCUAAGGUAGCGAAAUUCCUUGUCGGGUAAGUUCCGACCCGCACGAAAGGCGUAACGAUUUGGGCACUGUCUCAACGAGAGACUCGGUGAAAUCAUAGUACCUGUGAAGAUGCAGGUUACCCGCGACAGGACGGAAAGACCCCGUGGAGCUUUACUGUAGCCUGAUAUUGAAAUUCGGCACAGCUUGUACAGGAUAGGUAGGAGCCUUUGAAACGUGAGCGCUAGCUUACGUGGAGGCGCUGGUGGGAUACUACCCUAGCUGUGUUGGCUUUCUAACCCGCACCACUUAUCGUGGUGGGAGACAGUGUCAGGCGGGCAGUUUGACUGGGGCGGUCGCCUCCUAAAAGGUAACGGAGGCGCUCAAAGGUUCCCUCAGAAUGGUUGGAAAUCAUUCAUAGAGUGUAAAGGCAUAAGGGAGCUUGACUGCGAGACCUACAAGUCGAGCAGGGUCGAAAGACGGACUUAGUGAUCCGGUGGUUCCGCAUGGAAGGGCCAUCGCUCAACGGAUAAAAGCUACCCCGGGGAUAACAGGCUUAUCUCCCCCAAGAGUUCACAUCGACGGGGAGGUUUGGCACCUCGAUGUCGGCUCAUCGCAUCCUGGGGCUGUAGUCGGUCCCAAGGGUUGGGCUGUUCGCCCAUUAAAGCGGUACGCGAGCUGGGUUCAGAACGUCGUGAGACAGUUCGGUCCCUAUCCGUCGUGGGCGUAGGAAAUUUGAGAGGAGCUGUCCUUAGUACGAGAGGACCGGGAUGGACAUACCUCUGGUGUACCAGUUGUCGUGCCAACGGCAUAGCUGGGUAGCUAUGUGUGGACGGGAUAAGUGCUGAAAGCAUCUAAGCAUGAAGCCCCCCUCAAGAUGAGAUUUCCCAACUUCGGUUAUAAGAUCCCUCAAAGAUGAUGAGGUUAAUAGGUUCGAGGUGGAAGCAUGGUGACAUGUGGAGCUGACGAAUACUAAUCGAUCGAAGACUUAAUCAA